AAAGAGGAUCUUAUGAAAGAAAUGCGUAAUUGGCUAAUUUGACUAAUUACGUGAAAUAUGGGCUAAAACGGAUUAUAAUAAUAGUUUGACACUCUACAAGCUAGGUGGAGGCUUGGGAAAGAAGCGGUCAAACGAAUCAAGCACGAGAAGAAAAAGCGUAUUCGGGUGCGAGGAGUAAAUGUGAAAUGGGUAUUAGCAACGCCAUGGAUUAGCGGUUAUAAAAGCAAGGUAUUAAAAACGGGUUGAUAUAUUGACCCGCGCCAGGUACACUAUGGGAUGCCGGAAGACGAUCAAACUGAAGAACCGAACACAAUAAAGACUCAUGCUUCCGCACAUUGCCUCGUUGUAAAUUUUAACGACGAACCCAAUCACGUUCAUAGAAUAGCUUAUGAAUUGUAAAAGUUUUAAUUUACUCGGAAUUGUCUAAGGAUUCAUAACACUAAAUACAUGUCGGUUUUCGUAA
Molecule: long non-coding RNA, 463 nt
Organism: Helianthus annuus (common sunflower)
Lineage: Eukaryota; Viridiplantae; Streptophyta; Magnoliopsida; Asterales; Asteraceae
Exons: 3
Source: RefSeq, a predicted model, not a curated record